This 494-nucleotide ribosomal RNA is filed under the name uncultured bacterium. RNAcentral describes it as "partial 16S ribosomal RNA". It matches the Rfam family "Bacterial small subunit ribosomal RNA", at positions 28 to 523 of the family's 1533-position model. The record is from RNAcentral.
GAUGAACGCUGGCGGCGUGCCUAACACAUGCAAGUCGAACGGAGCUGCUUUGAUGAAGUUUUCGGAUGGAUUUAAAACAGCUUAGUGGCGGACGGGUGAGUAACGCGUGGGUAACCUGCCUCACACUGGGGGAUAACAGUUAGAAAUAGCUGCUAAUACCGCAUAAGCGCACAGUUCCGCAUGGAACAGUGUGAAAAACUCCGGUGGUGUGAGAUGGACCCGCGUCUGAUUAGCCAGUUGGCGGGGUAACGGCCCACCAAAGCGACGAUCAGUAGCCGGCCUGAGAGGGUGAACGGCCACAUUGGGACUGCUACACGGCCCAAACUCCUACGGGAGGCAGCAGUGGGGAAUAUUGCACAAUGGGGGAAACCCUGAUGCAGCGACGCCGCGUGAGUGAAGAAGUAUUUCGGUAUGUAAAGCUCUAUCAGCAGGGAAGAAAGUGACGGUACCUGAAUAAGAAGCCCCGGCUAACUACGUGCCAGCCGCCGCCGUAA